GAGAGGAAAGAGUCCGAUUUGACCAGAUGAGUCUCAUCUAGAGGAGGCCUCCAGGGAUACCCACCUCACCUUGAUUACACAGAGAAUUUGAGCACUUUACAAGAUGAAUUAUAGAUCUGUAAUCAACUAGAUGUACCUGCUUGCAUCUAAGGAACAUCUAAGGAGCAUCUAAGGAGCUGAAAAAAUAGUAAUCAUUGUCAUUAUAUAAAGUCAUGCCAAGAAGCCAGUGGAUCUCCUAUACCACUACCAGUAGCAUGGGCAGAAGAGGCAACAAGCUGAAGGCAUCUGGAGACCCGCCAAUCCAGAGAGUGUCUGUAUCUCUAAUGAAGUGUGUGCCUGAAUUGGGAAACUGGUAAUCUGAAAACAUCUGCCAGUUCUGCUGCCUCAGGGAAAGUGGUAUCGAAGUGAUCAGAUGGGAGGAUCUCUGAGCAUGCACAGAAGUGGAAUUCAAGAAACUUCUGAAUAGUUUAAAUAAUCUACAGAAUACCAUGACAGUUUAGCCUCUUCCAAGGUGUACCAGCUAUUCACUUGAAUGGACAAAGAGUUUCUGUCUGAAGUCCAGUUUUAUGUAUCCAGGACCUAGAUGUGAAGAACUUCAGACAGUUAUAGAAGGAUUUCUCUAGCUUAGAACUGAUAAAAAUGUAGAUGGCCUUCAAAGUGACACUUUACCUCUACGGAAUGUCAAUGUGAUAUAUUGUCAUUCACCACUUUCUGGGUAGAAUUUGGAUUUUAUAACGUGCAAGAAGCAUUCUGAGAUUCUGAGGUUCGGAAAUCUGCUCUUUUUAAAAAUAAAAAUAUACUAUGACAUGUUUUGUUUAAGGAGUUUCCAAGAUAUUUUAGGUUAACGUGUUGUUGUUUUGAUAUUUAUAUUGCAUUUCUUCUGCUUGCAUGAUAUAUCCAUAUGCAUGAUAAAGUGGAAAUGAAGGACAUUUACUUCUAUUUUUUUUUUUCUUUUCAAUGAAACCAAGUGUUUCCACACCUUCCUCGGAAAAUUUUGACAAAAUUGUCAUGGUCUUGAAGAAAGUUUCAUUUUGUCAAGUCAGCAUUUUCCCAUGUUCUUUUGGAGCACUUUUUCACCAGUUCUAACUAAAUACACAUGAGAAAGGCAAAGGCAGCAAUAUGGCAAACAACGUCUAUGAUAUUUCAGAGAACAACUGCUUGACAUUUAUAUUAGAUUUCUGGCCGACUAUUACAAUAUCUUUGAUGAGUGAGAUCUUGAUUUAACUCCACAUGGAGGUACGGAUGCACCUCCCAGAGUCUGUGAAGACACGGUGCCAAGGAGAAAGAGCAGAUGGUGUUUGCCUUGUCCCUGCCCCUUGUGCAUUACCCAAAGGGAUGACAUCUUUGCGCUGCACCUAGGCUCCACAGAAACCUGAUGAAGGGAGAUCCCUUGUGUUUUAACUGAAUGAACCCAUCUCCUGCUGCUCCAUUCGUAAAGGUGUAGAAAACAAGGCUGGGACAUAUCUCAAAGGGCUAUGUAACCCGUUCCCUGCCCCCAGCCAGCUUCAGUAGGUUCAUGGUUGACACAACCUAGAUUUGGAGGCUGUGUGGUUUCCUCUGCAGCAAGCUGGAGAUUAACAAUUUAGAAUCUUAGUAAGAAGGUGGGAAGUUUAUAGCUUUCUUUCCCAAAUUAGAGACUAAGCAUGCUGGUAGACAAUAUUAGAACUGGGAGCUGCUAUCUCUCGCAAAAGACCAGAAAUUGCCAAAUGACAGAACACUGGUAUCACAACUGUCUGAUGGUUGUUGGUUCAGAGAAGAGUUAGGAGCCACUGCUUCAUGAAGAUGCUUCAGCUCCCAGCUUUUAGAAGUGCAUCUGAAUGCAUGACAUAAAUGUGUAUCUCUCAAAAGAGCCUUGUUGAAGAGCCAUCUUUCAGAGGGAGAGAGAUCUAUUCUCCUAUCUCAUCCGGCACCUCUGUUUAUGCCGAGAGAUGACUGUGCAACACUGAGAUGAAAUCAGUCCACCACAAUUAGGUUUCAGUGAGGAGAGGUUGUGAUGCGCUGAUACAAUGCAGAGCCAAUAUCCCUUCAUAGGUAGACAGGUAGGUGGAUCUGUGAUCCUGACAGAGGAUGCCACUUUUCUUGGUGUACGGACUGAGGAGUACUUAAUAGUUCUCACAGUGUCUGUUUCUUUGCAUUUCUAAAAAGAAUACCAUUAUCAUCACGGAUAGUAUGUAUAAGUAUAAAUGUACCUGUGCACUGAAAGUGGGAAUAAGUUUAAUAUGGUUGUAAUAAUCAGUAUUGGCUAUAUUGUGCCUUAAAGCACAGUCCUCCAGCCCUUUCUGAGUGUCAUUGUACCAAAGUAACGAGACAUUUUGGCAACCAUGGGCUCUCGCUCUCUCCCAAGGCAAUCUGCCUUUCUAUUUCCCAAGGGUUUCCAACUCUUUCUAACUCCAUCAGAUUACUUCCUACUGCUUCUACUUCACAUCACUCUGAAUGUCUGGUUACUCUUUCUGGGCAAAAGCAACCUGAUAUGUCACUGGCUUAUUUGCCUGUAUUCACUGUGUCUUCAUUAUCUCAGCCUUGUUCCAUCUAUUUUUGGACCUCUGCAACUCCUCUUCUUCCUGCCUUGUUAGGGUAGGUAUUACCUGACUUUACACUCUCAGGAAAUGGGGAACAGAUUGCAGGGUGAACACCCAGUCUGUUCCUAGGUCAACUGUGUAGAUAGCAGAUUCAAAUCCCUAUCUACCACCCACUUGUUUCUGCCAAUGGAGAUCUAGUAAUUAUUUUUUUCUGCUCAGGUGGCACACAGAGAAUUCAUUUAUACUCCUUUGCUUAAACAGUUAGUAUUGAUAGACAGUUAACUGAGGGAUCUACGUUACAAGCCCGCUGACUGUAAGCUCCCCAAAUAAUCGGUGAGGAAAGAGAGAACAGCACACUGGAGGGAAGUAUGCAUCUUGGAGGUGACGACUUACCCUCUGGAGCUGCCUGUAUCUCCCUGAUGGCUGCAGAGUCUGGGUGAACAGUCUGUUUUUCCCUCCAGUUACAUGUUGUGGAUAUGGGUUCUUGUUUCAGACCAAGAACUGACAGGCAUGUUACAUCAGUUUGUUUGCUCAUUCUUUUUUUCAUGACAAAAAUGAUCAUGGGCAACAAAUCAUUCAAGGUUGCAUGAAUUGCUUUGCUGUUCUCGCUGCAAGCUUUUUCAUUUGAUCUUUGUUGAUUCUUAAAUAUGCGAAAAGUCAUGCUAAGGUCAAAUCCAAUUUAUUCUAAUUUUUAAGAUCUCAGAAGAGGAAAAAAGUUCGUCUAUUCAUCCAGCUCUGAGUGUAAUCAGAGGGUCACACUAUUCCUACACGAAACUGAGAUUGUAUUUAUUUAUUUAUUUAUU
Molecule: long non-coding RNA, 3322 nt
Filed under: Gallus gallus (chicken)
Lineage: Eukaryota; Metazoa; Chordata; Aves; Galliformes; Phasianidae
Description: lncRNA (ENSGALG00010011812.1)
Source: RNAcentral